GUCUCCUUUGACUAAAAAAGUUCAUAGCAUUUAAUAAGUACACUGGCAUAUUUCAGCGAAAAACAAUAGAUAUAAAAAUAGUACUCCUAGUAGAAAUUAAGAUAUGAGAAAGAAUAAAUGUCAAUCUUAAUUUCUGGGAUAAUUAAAACCGGAUGCUUUGGGCAAUUGUGAAAAGGGGUGUCAUUUCCAAGACCAGUAAUCAUUUCUUUCUUUCAGCUAGGUAAUGCACGACAUGCAUUUCCUCAAACAUGGCUGAUUAGGACAGCACUUUGCAAUGAGGUUACAUGGUCUGAAAGCAAGCCCAUGAAAAUGGGAAGACCAUAGUAAUGUAUAGUAUAGUGAAGACAAAUUCCAAGAGUUUGGUUCUAUCCUGCCACCAUCCCUGUUUACCUAUUCCGGUCUCAUGAUCUGCUGCUUACACCUGUUAAAUUGUUUGCUCUUUGUGUACCUUGGCAUCCACCUGCCACACGCAAUUUCUGCCUAAUUUGAAACCAGUGCUCAUCCAAUAGAUGUAGCACCAACAACCCCACCAUCACCAUCACCCUCACCCUCACCCUCACCCUCACCCUGUUUGCCUCUUUCAAAUCAGCCGCUACAUAUGGUCAGGUUUUUGGUGGAAUAACAUUACAUUGCUUUCACAUCCUUUUUCAGCAUCAAUUGAUCGGGAGCAAAGCGAUACCUACGAGAAACGAAGACAUUAAGUAAUGAUUUGAACAUUUGCAUCAAUGAUAAGUGCAUGAUUUCUCGAUCAAAAGAAUUACCGAAGCUGAACAAAGUCAUACAUGAAUCCUGGUAUUUUACAAAUAGUUUGUUUAAUCAAGUCAUUACGGAUUAGAGCAAACUGUUCUUGAAAACAAUGACAGAACACAACACAACACACAUAUCUUGCUAAGACAAUUGUUGGAAUCUCUAUCACUACCACCACGUAACAAGCAUAACUGGUAUUUUAUUCUCAAAUCCCUGACCCUUUCCCAACCUUGAGCCUCUCACCUAAUAGGACAAACAUGACCAAAUUUAAAACUACAAAUGAUAAGAGAAAAAAAAAGAAAAGAAAGAGGGACUGUCUCAAAGCUUUCUAACUAUCUGUCUUGCGGUGCAGUUGCAGAUUAAGAAGGAAUCAUGGCCAUUGUUGGUAAACAAAACAAAAAUCAAAUUAAGAAGCCAUAAAAUGAGGGGAUGAAGGGGAAGCAAAUGCGGGAAAGUGAGAGGAGAGGGACAAGAGCCCGGCAUGCACACCCUAAGACACGCG
Molecule: long non-coding RNA, 1249 nt
Filed under: Theobroma cacao (cacao)
Lineage: Eukaryota; Viridiplantae; Streptophyta; Magnoliopsida; Malvales; Malvaceae
Description: long non-coding RNA (TCAC_LNC001456)
Source: RNAcentral